Molecule: RNA transcript, 2243 nt
Organism: Vicia villosa (hairy vetch)
Lineage: Eukaryota; Viridiplantae; Streptophyta; Magnoliopsida; Fabales; Fabaceae
Gene name: eukaryotic translation initiation factor 3 subunit D-like
Exons: 3
Source: RefSeq, a predicted model, not a curated record
UAUCCAGCCCAGAAAAAAAAAACCCAGAAAGCAAAAACAACAACGAGAAUCUCAAACUAGGGUUUUGCACUCACUCAUCUCUAUCAUCAUCUUCAUCUUCCUCAAACCAGUUUCCACCACUGAGCACUCCACAGACUCAUCAUCAUCACCAAUGGUAGGAGUAGCAUUCGAUGUCGGAGCCGUUCCUUUCAACCCCGACGGAUGGGGCCCAAUGGACUCCUCCACCACCGCCGCCGCCAACAACAACGCCAACAACCUCCCUCUCAACGUCCCCUUCGCCCCUUUCUCCCGCUCCGACAAACUCGGCCGAAUUGCCGAUUGGACCCGCAACUUCAACAACCAAACCCGAUCCAAAAACCCCGCUGACUCCGCCUUCGAUUUCACCCUCGAUGAUUCCUUCCCUGGCAACACCGAUGACGACGCUACAUUCCGCUUAGUCGACGGUAAACCUCCACCCCGUCCUAAAUUCGGCCCGAAAUGGAGAUACCAGCAGCAACGGCAACUUCCUCAGCGUCGCGAUGAGGAAGUCGAAGCGAAGAAACGUGAGGCGGAGAAGGAGAGAGCUCGUCGCGAUCGGCUUUACCAUCAGAAUCGGUCGAACCCUAAUAAUCCUCGACGGGAAGCCGCGGUUUGUAAAUCGUCAGUUGAUAUUCAGCCGGAGUGGAAUAUGCAUGAACAGCUCCCGUUUUCGACUUUCACUAAGCUGUCCUACAAUGUUCCUGAGCCUGAAGAUCUUCUCCUAUGUGGUGCUCUUGAGAAUUAUGAUCGUACAUUCGAUAGAAUUAACCCGAAGAAUGAGCGUCGGCUCGAGAGGUUUAAGAAUCGGAACUUCUUCAAGGUUACAACCACUGAUGACCCUGUUAUUAGGAGGCUUGCGAAUGAGGAUAAAGCGACGGUUUUUGCAACAGAUACGAUUCUCUCAACUCUCAUGUGUGCUCCUAGGUCUGUUUAUUCCUGGGAUAUUGUUGUUCAGCGUGUUGGGAAUAAGUUGUUUUUUGAUAAACGUGAUGGGUCGCAGUUGGAUUUGCUUUCGGUUCAUGAGACGUCGCAGGAGCCUUUGCCUGAAGCUAAAGAUGAUAUUAACUCUGCUCAUUCUUUGAGUGUUGAAGCUGCUUAUAUCAAUCAGAAUUUCUCUCAGCAGGUGUUGAUUAGGGAUGGGAACAAGGUUACUUUUGAUGAGCCUAACCCUUUUGCUAACGAGGGUGAAGAGGUUGCUUCGGUUGCUUAUAGGUAUAGGAGGUGGAAGCUUGAUAAUGAUAUGUAUCUUGUUGCUAGGUGUGAGGUGCAUAGUGUUGUUGAAUUGAAUAAGCAAAGGUCGUUCCUUACUGUGAAUGCUUUGAAUGAGUUUGAUCCGAAGUAUUCAGGGGUUGAUUGGAGGCAGAAGUUGGAAACUCAAAGAGGUGCUGUUUUGGCUACUGAGCUCAAGAACAAUGCUAACAAGUUGGCUAAGUGGACUGCACAAGCUCUUUUGGGUAGUGCUGAUAUGAUGAAGUUGGGUUAUGUGUCUCGGAUUCAUCCUCGGGACCAUUUUAAUCAUGUUAUCUUGGGCGUGGUUGGAUAUAAACCCAAGGAUUUUGCGGCACAAAUUAAUUUGAACGCCAACAACAUGUGGGGUAUUGUGAAGUCUAUUGUGGACAUGUGUAUGAAGAUGAAUGAGGGGAAAUAUGUUAUUGUGAAGGAUCCAUCUAAGCCUCAGAUUAGGAUUUAUGAGGUUCCGGCUGAUGCAUUUGAGAAUGACUAUGUGGAGGAGCCUCUUCCGGAAGAUGAACAAGUUCAGCCUACGGCAGAGGGUGCUGAUGGUGGAGAGGAAGCUGCUGCUACUGCUAUAAAUGACGUGGAAGAUAAGCCAAUUGAUGCUCAAGCUUAAAAGGGCCACUGGUAGCCAGAAAAUGAAGACAAAUGUUGCUGAUGUAUUGCAAUUAUGGCCGCGGAGACUCCAAAGCCCUUCAUGUUGCAGUAGUUGUUAGUUUUGGAAUUCAAUUUUAAACCUUGGUUGUGCUUUUUGAGCAAUUAACGGCCUUUCGCUUGGGAACAUCACACUAUGCUCAGAAUCAUAUUCACUUCUUCACUGCUAUUUGUUGGUCAAGAUUUUGCCAUUCAAACCUUGUGAUAUUACCUCUAGAAUAAUUUUUUUUAUAAAGCAUACUGAGUUGUAUGAUGCUACAGAUGUUUAUGAUCUAUAAACCUUGGCAGAUUUAGGCUGUGGAACCAUUAAAAGACUGUGUUAUGCUUUUGAGUUUAUA